AGAUUUAUCCUGGCUCAGGAUAACGCUGGCGGCGUGCUUAACACAUGCAAGUCGAACGAUGAUCCCAGCUUGCUGGGGGAUUAGUGGCGAACGGGUGAGUAACACGUGAGUAACCUGCCCUUGACUCUGGGAUAAGCCUGGGAAACUGGGUCUAAUACCGGAUACGACCAUUCCACGCAUGUGGUGGUGGUGGAAAGCUUUUGUGGUUUUGGAUGGACUCGCGGCCUAUCAGCUUGUUGGUGGGGUAAUGGCCUACCAAGGCGACGACGGGUAGCCGGCCUGAGAGGGUGACCGGCCACACUGGGACUGAGACACGGCCCAGACUCCUACGGGAGGCAGCAGUGGGGAAUAUUGCACAAUGGGCGCAAGCCUGAUGCAGCGACGCCGCGUGAGGGAUGACGGCCUUCGGGUUGUAAACCUCUUUCAGUAGGGAAGAAGCGUAAGUGACGGUACCUGCAGAAGAAGCGCCGGCUAACUCGU
This 480-nucleotide ribosomal RNA is filed under the name Arthrobacter sp. 036-4.3-CV-A-01. Its description in RNAcentral is "bacterial SSU rRNA". It matches the Rfam family "Bacterial small subunit ribosomal RNA", at positions 10 to 505 of the family's 1533-position model. Lineage: Bacteria; Bacillati; Actinomycetota; Actinomycetes; Micrococcales; Micrococcaceae. The record is from RNAcentral.